AUUGUAUGACGCAUUGGUUACGAUUUUGCAUAAUCAUCUACGGGGGUGAUCUUGCGACAACUUUCGAAGACAAGUGUUUAACACCAUUCAACCGGAAAUCAGAAAUAUGAAGCCACGAGAUUUUAAAUUUGCAAUCAGAUAAUCCAGGGCCAGUCGCGCUAUUGUGACAAAAGUGCGACAUAGGUACGACUUAAUUAAAAUAAUUAAUCAAGAAGAACGUAAAAAUACGUAAACAAAUUAUGCAUGGUUUGUAAAUUUGGUAAACAAAAUUUCAAUGUUGGCUAACAAAUUCUGCAACCAAGAAAUGUGCCAAUUUAUGGACCCAAAAAUCAAAUGUAGUACAUACAUGGAUUUAUUUAUAUAUAUUUA
Long non-coding RNA from Photinus pyralis (common eastern firefly), 369 nucleotides. RefSeq lists it as uncharacterized. The transcript has 3 exons. NCBI's taxonomy places the organism in Eukaryota, Metazoa, Arthropoda, Insecta, Coleoptera, Lampyridae. The record is from RefSeq and is a predicted model, not a curated record.